ACUACUAGAGAACUACAGAGUACAAAGCGCACACACGCAUCCUUUAUUUAUUUUACUAAGAAACAUGACAAGUAGAUCAUCAUAGUAUUAUGAAUGAAGCUCAAACAAACUGCUGGAGGUAUUCGUCAACGGUUGUGUACUUGACAUCAGGGUAGAGCUGAGAAGCCUCGUGUCCAAAUGAAGCCUCUAUCUCGAAAUUGGUUUGAUCUCCCUUAACAAAUACCGCAUGGCUGAUUGAAAUUAUCAAAUUCAUCGGUGGUGCUGACCCUGCAAAAUUACAUAAAAAAACCACAAACAAGUUCGGAUCAUGUUUCUGAUGCACUGAUAAUUUGGUAGUCGUUUGAUGGUUCUAGCUCUGUUGUCAUGUUAUUUCUAGAGGCUACUCACCUUGGAUUUGGUUUAGAACAUGCUCCUCUGGAACAUGAAUCUUUUCAAGAACCUUGUCGAUCUUCUUCUCCCACAAGGUAACUAGAUCGUUGAAGGAGUGGAUAUUGUGAGGAGGCUUGAUGUAGAGGGACUUGUUAACGGUUCUCGGGUCGUCCACUGUUUUAAUAGUGUAGGUGGCAAUAUCUUGUUCCAAGUUAAACACAGCUGCAACCCAGGAGAAACAGAAUUAUAGCCUUUCCCAAAUCAUGUUUAUUGAUACCUAAAGUCAUAAAGAAAAUAUUAGACAGAGUCACGGUACCUUUGGCACUUCCAUCUCCCAGGAUCACGACUUUGUCUCUCGGUGGAGCAGUGGCUCCUGGCUGAGCCAUCGUAGGAAGAAAAUAUCCUGCAAAACAAGCAGAGAUGAUAUAGGUGUAGGGGAUGCCUUGAGCCUCAAUUGCUCUGCGGAUUUUAGCUUUUUCGGCAAAGUUAGUUUUUGCAGGCUCCACGACAUUUGUACGAUCCACAUCAUUUCCGAACUCUGAGGGAAUGAAUCUCUGUAAUCAUGAGCGAAAGCAAGGCACAUCAAAAAAAAUAAUUCAGGAGUGGAUUAGAAAAUAUUGGGAAAUAUAGGCGAACCUUGACGUUUCCAGCUUCUUUAAUAGCAUCAAGAAUCUUGGAUUGAUCAAGUAUCUGUCCGAAAGUCACCGCUGAGAUGACCACGUCCACUUGCUUAAUGGCCUUUACUAAACUCUCAUGAUCAUGGAGAUCUCCCUGCACAUACCAAAUGAAAUUCAACUAUAUACAAAUAAACAUGUUCAUUUGUGGACAGUCGAUUUUAACAUAAAUUGGCCUUACAUAGACGACUGUAACUCCGGAGNUGGCGCACUAUGUAACUCCAUACAAGGAGUCACUCUCCGGAAUGUUGGCCGACAUAUGUAUGCCACAACAUAAUGGCUGUAGACCUCCAAAAUCAUAAACUGAUAUAUUUCGACAAAAUCAGUGUAAAAAAGACAAGCCAAUAAGCCAUACUUUGCGAUCAAUGGUUCAAUGUCACACAUAAAGUGUAAACAACAUCAACAUAAAAACAUUAUAAACUCAAAUAAAGAUAACAUACCAAACCAUGAGCAGGCUGUUUUAUAUCCAGUACUGACACUACUAGAGAACUACAGAGUACAAAGCGCACACACGCAUCCUUUAUUUAUUUUACUAAGAAACAUGACAAGUAGAUCAUCAUAGUAUUAUGAAUGAAGCUCAAACAAACUGCUGGAGGUAUUCGUCAACGGUUGUGUACUUGACAUCAGGGUAGAGCUGAGAAGCCUCGUGUCCAAAUGAAGCCUCUAUCUCGAAAUUGGUUUGAUCUCCCUUAACAAAUACCGCAUGGCUGAUUGAAAUUAUCAAAUUCAUCGGUGGUGCUGACC
Molecule: long non-coding RNA, 1787 nt
Filed under: Daucus carota (carrot)
Lineage: Eukaryota; Viridiplantae; Streptophyta; Magnoliopsida; Apiales; Apiaceae
Description: long non-coding RNA (DCAR_LNC003071)
Source: RNAcentral